Molecule: ribosomal RNA, 253 nt
Filed under: uncultured bacterium
Lineage: Bacteria
Description: partial 16S ribosomal RNA
Rfam family: Bacterial small subunit ribosomal RNA
Source: RNAcentral
UACGUAGGGCGCAAGCGUUGUCCGGAAUUAUUGGGCGUAGAGAGCUCGUAGGCGGUCUGUUACGUCCGCUGUGAAAACCCAGGGCUUAACCCUGGGCUUGCAGUGGAUACGGGUAGACUAGAGGCAGGUAGGGGAGAAUGGAAUUCCCGGUGUAGCGGUGAAAUGCGCAGAUAUCGGGAGGAACACCGGUGGCGAAGGCGGUUCUCUGGGCAUUACCUGACGCUGAGGAGCGAAAGUGUGGGGAGCGAACAGG